CCUACGGGGGGCAGCAGUGAGGAAUAUUGGUCAAUGGUCGGGAGACUGAACCAGCCAAGCCGCGUGAGGGAUGAAGGUACAGAGUAUCGUAAACCUCUUUUGUCAGGGAACAAAGGCGGGGACGUGUCCCCGGAUGAGUGUACCUGAAGAAAAAGCAUCGGCUAACUCCGUGCCAGCAGCCGCGGUAAUACGGAGGAUGCGAGCGUUAUCCGGAUUUAUUGGGUUUAAAGGGUGCGCAGGCGGUCUGUUAAGUCAGCGGUGAAAGCCCGGGGCUCAACCCCGGCCCGCCCGUUGAAACUGGCAGUCUCGAGUUGGAGAGAAGUAUGCGGAAUGCGCGGUGUAGCGGUGAAAUGCAUAGAUAUCGCGCAGAACUCCGAUUGCGAAGGCAGCAUGCCGGCUCCACACUGACGCUGAGGCACGAAAGCGUGGGUAUCGAACAGGAUUAGAUACCCCGGUAGUC
Molecule: ribosomal RNA, 460 nt
Filed under: uncultured bacterium
Lineage: Bacteria
Description: partial 16S ribosomal RNA
Rfam family: Bacterial small subunit ribosomal RNA
Source: RNAcentral